UUGAGAGUUUGAUCCUGGCUCAGGACGAACGCUGGCGGCGUGCCUAAUACAUGCAAGUCGUACGCUUCUUUUUCCACCGNGAGCUUGCUCCACCGGAAAAAGAGGAGUGGCGAACGGGUGAGUAACACGUGGGUAACCUGCCCAUCAGAAGGGGAUAACACUUGGAAACAGGUGCUAAUACCGUAUAACAAUCGAAACCGCAUGGUUUUGAUUUGAAAGGCGCUUUCGGGUGUCGCUGAUGGAUGGACCCGCGGUGCAUUAGCUAGUUGGUGAGGUAACGGCUCACCAAGGCCACGAUGCAUAGCCGACCUGAGAGGGUGAUCGGCCACAUUGGGACUGAGACACGGCCCAAACUCCUACGGGAGGCAGCAGUAGGGAAUCUUCGGCAAUGGACGAAAGUCUGACCGAGCAACGCCGCGUGAGUGAAGAAGGUUUUCGGAUCGUAAAACUCUGUUGUUAGAGAAGAACAAGGAUGAGAGUAACUGUUCAUCCCUUGACGGUAUCUAACCAGAAAGCCACGGCUAACUACGUGCCAGCAGCCGCGGUAA
Molecule: ribosomal RNA, 548 nt
Filed under: Enterococcus durans
Lineage: Bacteria; Bacillati; Bacillota; Bacilli; Lactobacillales; Enterococcaceae
Description: bacterial SSU rRNA
Rfam family: Bacterial small subunit ribosomal RNA
Source: RNAcentral